This 377-nucleotide ribosomal RNA is filed under the name uncultured bacterium. Its description in RNAcentral is "bacterial SSU rRNA". It matches the Rfam family "Bacterial small subunit ribosomal RNA", at positions 362 to 758 of the family's 1533-position model. The record is from RNAcentral.
UAUUGGACAAUGGGGGAAACCCUGAUCCAGCAAUGCCGCGUGUGUGAUGAAGGCCUUCGGGUUGUAAAGCACUUUUGUCAGGGACGAUGAUGACGGUACCUGACGAAUAAGCUCCGGCUAACUUCGUGCCAGCAGCCGCGGUAAUACGAGGGGAGCUAGCGUUGUUCGGAAUUACUGGGCGUAAAGGGCGUGUAGGCGGUACCAUAAGUCAGAUGUGAAAGCCCUAGGCUUAACCUAGGAGGUGCAUUUGAUACUGUGGAAAUAGAGAUCGAGAGAGGUAAGUGGAAUUACGAGUGUAGAGGUGAAAUUCGUAGAUAUUCGUAAGAACACCAGUGGCGAAGGCGACUUACGGCUCGAUACUGACGCAAGGCGCGAAA